RNAcentral lists this ribosomal RNA (403 nucleotides) under Actinomycetes bacterium. RNAcentral's name for it is "Actinobacteria bacterium partial 16S ribosomal RNA". It matches the Rfam family "Bacterial small subunit ribosomal RNA", at positions 355 to 776 of the family's 1533-position model. The record is from RNAcentral. Lineage: Bacteria; Bacillati; Actinomycetota; Actinomycetes.
UGGGGAAUAUUGGACAAUGGGCGCAAGCCUGAUCCAGCCAUGCGCGUGAGUGAUGAAGGCCCUAGGGUUGUAAAGCUCUUUCACCGGUGAAGAUAAUGACGGUAACCGGAGAAGAAGCCCCGGCUAACUUCGUGCCAGCAGCCGCGGUAAUACGAAGGGGGCUAGCGUUGUUCGGAUUUACUGGGCGUAAAGCGCACGUAGGCGGACUUUUAAGUCAGGGGUGAAAUCCCGGGGCUCAACCCCGGAACUGCCUUUGAUACUGGAAGUCUUGAGUAUGGUAGAGGUGGGUGGAAUUCCGAGUGUAGAGGUGAAAUUCGUAGAUAUUCGGAGGAACACCAGUGGCGAAGGCGGCUCACUGGACCAUUACUGACGCUGAGGUGCGAAAGCGUGGGGAGCAAACAGG